This 709-nucleotide small RNA is filed under the name Mucor hiemalis. Its description in RNAcentral is "eukaryotic LSU rRNA". The stretch from base 250 to 402 matches the Rfam family "5.8S ribosomal RNA". Lineage: Eukaryota; Fungi; Mucoromycota; Mucoromycetes; Mucorales; Mucoraceae. The record is from RNAcentral.
GGUGAACCUGCGGAAGGAUCAUUAAAUAAUUUAGAUGGCCUUUGCUAGUUUUCUAGCGAAUGGUUCAUUCUUUUUUACUGUGAACUGUUUUAAUUUUUCAGCGUCUGAGGAAUGUCUUUUAGCCAUAGGGAUAGGCUACUAGAAUGUUAACCGAGCUGAAAGUCAGGCUUAGGCCUGGUAUCCUAUUAAUUAUUUACCAAAAGAAUUCAGUAUUAUAAUUGUAACAUAAGCGUAAAAAACUUAUAAAACAACUUUUAACAACGGAUCUCUUGGUUCUCGCAUCGAUGAAGAACGUAGCAAAGUGCGAUAACUAGUGUGAAUUGCAUAUUCAGUGAAUCAUCGAGUCUUUGAACGCAACUUGCGCUCAAUGGUAUUCCAUUGAGCACGCCUGUUUCAGUAUCAAAAACACCCCACAUUCAUAAUUUUGUUGUGAAUGGAAAUGAGAGUUUCGGCUUUAUUGCUGAAUUCUUUAAAAUUAUUAGGCCUGAACUAUUGUUCUUUCUGCCUGAACAUUUUUUUAAUAUAAAGGAAUGCUCUAGUAAAAAGACUAUCUCUGGGGCCUCCCAAAUAAAUCAUUCUUAAAUUUGAUCUGAAAUCAGGCGGGAUUACCCGCUGAACUUAAGCAUAUCAAUAAGCGGAGGAAAAGAAAAUAACAAUGAUUUCCCUAGUAACGGCGAGUGAAGAGGAAAGAGCUCAAAGUUGGAACCUG